RNAcentral lists this non-coding RNA (45 nucleotides) under Trichobilharzia regenti. Lineage: Eukaryota; Metazoa; Platyhelminthes; Trematoda; Strigeidida; Schistosomatidae. The record is from RNAcentral.
ACCCAGAUGACGAGUGUCAAACAGGACGAAACAUGCGUCCUGGAU